UGCGAUCAACUUGCAUCCCAUAUAUGACUCUGGAUAUGAAAUCUUGUCAAAUCCAAUAUCAUAUUUAUACUUCUUUUAAUCUUAUAAUGAUGAUUUGACUAAUAAAAUAUUAAAAAUACUUUCUAAUUUUUAUCUUGCUUUGAUCAAAAACUCCCUAAAUCAUUAGUCGAUUAAAGCAAGUAGGAUGCAAUCUCCUCUUACCAAGAGCGACCGAUUCCAUGUUGGCCUACUUACAAUCUCCAUACACAUUCCACCAUAUCCAGAAUAUUUCAUACAUAACUAAAUCAUGAAUAAGUAUGAACCAAAAUAUGGAUUCAUGUAUACAAGGUUCUAUGGUAGUCUCAAGUCAAAAGAUUACAUACACAAC
Molecule: long non-coding RNA, 367 nt
Filed under: Elaeis guineensis (African oil palm)
Lineage: Eukaryota; Viridiplantae; Streptophyta; Magnoliopsida; Arecales; Arecaceae
Description: long non-coding RNA (EGUI_LNC067871)
Source: RNAcentral